Long non-coding RNA from Rosa rugosa (rugosa rose), 1241 nucleotides. RefSeq lists it as uncharacterized. NCBI's taxonomy places the organism in Eukaryota, Viridiplantae, Streptophyta, Magnoliopsida, Rosales, Rosaceae. The record is from RefSeq and is a predicted model, not a curated record. The transcript is spliced from 5 exons.
AGUAAUUUUAUGGGACAAUGAUAAAAGAGGUCAUUUUAAAGUACUUUAUGAUAAUCCAGACACCACAAAUGUCCCUCUGAUAAUUAAGGUCACCUAUUAACAACCUACCACUAAAGUUAAACUUAAUUACAAAAACUGCCACUGCUGGCUCUCGCUCCCUCCCUUCCGUUAAUAUGUUAUCCGUUCAGAUUCAACCCUUUACCAAAAUCUCUCUCUCUCCACAAACCCUUACCAUCCCAACCUCCUUGACCGCGACUCCUUAAGACCUUCCUCGACUUCUCCGACUCGCCGCCCUUCACCAUCGAUCUCUCCUUCGAGUGGAUCCUCGACUCCGUGACUCCGACACCGAUCAAAUCAAGCUCAUUGAUCGCACCCUGCAGUUGGGAUCGGUGCUCCUCGAGGCCGGUAAGAGCUCGGCGAGACGACAAGCCUCCAAGCACAACUCCAUCUCCUGGGCUCUCCCUCUCGACCUCACCAUCAAGGGAUGUGAUGGGUCAGUUUUGCUUGAUGGAUCAGCGAGUGGUCCAAGUGAGCAGGAGGCACCUCCAAACCUGAGUUUGAGGGCCACGGCCUUCGAAAUCAUCAAUGACCUCCGUGAGCUAGCUCAUAGCAAAUGUGGGAGGGUUUGUUUCUUGUGCUGAUAUAGCUGCUCUUGCUGCUAGGGAUUCUGUUUUCCUGUUUUUGUCAAGUGGUUUUGUUGUGAUGCUUUUUCAUUAUGAUGGUAACGUUGAUGAGUGGAAGCAAUUUCAAUGGAAUGAUCUUGUCAUUUAUGUGUCUGUAGUCAAUCAAACAAAAUGGUGGUUCGCAAAGCGUUUCUUACAUCCUGAUAUAGUUGAUCAAUAUAGUCGCAUUCUUCUACGGGAUGAGGACCUUGGAGUUGACAAUUUCAAUCCUCAACGGUAUGUGUCCAUUGUUCGAAAGGAAGGGCUUGAAAUAUCACAACCGGCACUUGAUUUUUCCAAGACAGAGGUGAACUACAUGGAGAAACUUUCGAAAGAGGAGGGGAUUCAGAAGAAACUCAGCAAGGAUAUUUUGCAAUAUAAAGCUCAUAUAAUCAAGAUAUUUGCGGAACAUAGGCACAAUUGGAUCUCUGCAGAUUUAGAGUUUUAGAAAUUUGCCUAGGGCUUAGGAUGCAAGUCACUGGUGAAUUGUAAACUCCAGUUUAUUAAAUAAAUUAGCUUUUUGUAUCUUUUUAUGAUGUCACUGUUAUGUUUUUUCCUUAAUAAAACAUUAUUUUUAUA